CCCCUUGUCGCGUCGGGGUUAUGGCGCGCACCUCCCUGUUGGACCUUGGCCGGGCCUUUGUGCCCGGUCUUUUUU
This 75-nucleotide non-coding RNA is filed under the name Pseudorhodobacter antarcticus. Its description in RNAcentral is "Pseudorhodobacter sp. ZS3-33 Singlet oxygen resistance RNA X". It matches the Rfam family "Singlet oxygen resistance RNA X". Rfam says of the family: SorX (RSs2461)like SorY is a singlet oxygen induced sRNA that counteracts oxidative stress by targeting mRNA for a transporter in Rhodobacter. Lineage: Bacteria; Pseudomonadati; Pseudomonadota; Alphaproteobacteria; Rhodobacterales; Paracoccaceae. The record is from Rfam by way of RNAcentral.